AAUAGUUACAUUCUUAGGUUUAUUGUAUCACAGCCCAGUGACUUUCCUCUUGAGAUUGUAGCUCAGAGGAAACAUUCAGGAUCUAAUAGGGAACCCAAGGGGAUAGAAGUGGGGAGAUAAGAUUCUUUUUUUUUUUUUUUUUUGGCUUUUUAGGGCUGCACUUGCAGCAGAUGGAUAUUCCCAGGCUAGGAGGUCAAAUUGGAGUUACAGCUGCCAGUCUACGCCGCAGCCACACAGGAUCCGAGCCGCGUCUGCAACCUACACCACGGGUCAUGGCAAUGCCAGAUCCUUAACCCACUGGGCGAGGCCAGGCCAGGGAUCGAACCCACAACCUCAUGGCUUCUAGUCGGAUUCUUUUCCGCUGCACCACAACGGGAACGGCAUCCUUUGUCCUGACGUAGCAGCAUUUGCCCAAGGAGUUCAGGGUUAGGGUUGCUUCCCACUUCCCAUCAUGUUCUUCCACUGCUGUCGGAUAUAAGUCAUACAGCUGAUGCCCAGGUGAAUCCCUGGAGAAGGGUAAGAAUAAAGCUCCCAAGACAUGAAAGAGCUUGACACGCACUUGGCACACAAUACUCAGUACAUGGUUGGCUCUAUUUAUGGGAUGGUCUCAUUCUUGUUUAGGGAGGAAAGCAGAAAAGCAGUGGUUCCUGUUCAGCAGGUGUCCCUGUGCGUCUUGAGCGUGUCGAGUAGUCACCCUCUAACCUGUAAUACUUGAUCAGCACUAAGGGAAGUACAAAUUAUGAAGCUAGCAAAAGUCUGAGGCCAAAGGUAUUUCUGUCCUAACAGCUUUAAUAAUGCUUAUUGAUUUUGAAUCAUCUUUUUAAAAAGUGGACCAUUUACUUAUUUUAAUAUCAUCACUUCAGCAAAAUGGUAGUGUUGAAAAGAUCAGCUUUCAUGGCACUAAGGAAUGUAUCUGCUAAGACACAAAAGUUGCUUGGUGUGCAUGUGUAUGAGGCCGAGGAGGAAAGAUUGUAGGCGGAUGAAAAUUUAACAGACUGGAGUAUUUAUUCAGAAGUAUCCAUUGGGAAAGGGUGGGAUUCUUCCACUGAUGCGCCUCCUGCCUGUGUGUGCGUCUGCAUGUGUGUGUGUGUGUGUGUGUGUGUGUGUGCGCGCGUGCGUGCGUGUAGGUACUUGGGCACAGCUACGACAGUGUUUGGAAUUGUAGACAGAAGCAGCUGUUGAUCGGGUGACAGAGACAGAGGAUUGUCCUCAUCUCGCUGGCGGGACCUCCUGAGGCGGAGCCCACCCUGCUCUCCAGGCAGACCCCUGUUCCUGCUCUGCGGUCUGCUCCGUCUCGUUUCGGUUGUGGUACUGAGCAUCAGCACUGCUCGAAGGUCCUCGCGUGUUAGCAUCACUAGUUCUGAGGAGUUUGGGUACAUUUGUUUCAGUAUAUGUAGAAGGUCCAGUAAACUUUCUCUCUCUCUUUUAAGCAAAAUGACUCAUUUUAGGUCCAAUAUUGAGCUGACAGAUCUACUGUGAGAAUGAGCUGACGUAUCUACUGUGAGAAUAACAUAAUGAUAGUUUAUUUGAAAACUUCUGUACACAGUGGUGUUUAUAUAUCCAGAUAAAUAUAUAAACACGUAUGCAUGCAUGCAUCACAUCUCUCUACUGUAGAGGUAAUGUGAAUUUUUAAAUUUUAAAUGGAAUUGCAACCACAAUCAUUGCUAAAAGAACAUUCACUCCUAGUGAGGGUUUACAAAAGCCACUAAAAGAAUAAGGUAGACAGAUAAAAAUGCAAAGGGCCAUCAUUUGGGGUUAUUUUUAUUUAAAAAUUUAUUGUGCUACUUUUGAAAGAGAAUUGUUUUUAUUACUACGUUCUUUGUGAUUGGAAAGUCAUCUAAUAGUAAGCAGUGCAGUAAUAGGAAGCUACUUUUUAAUUGCUGGCAAACAGCUUUAAGUGCACUUUCUUUUAUUACACUUCCAUUUUUUGUUAAACUUGAAUUUUCUGAAGCCUUUUAUGUACCACUAAGCAAUUAACUUUAACUUUUAAUAAACCUGAUUUACAUCUUUAUUAUAUUUCUAAUUGCUAAAAAAACAUACUUUCUAAAGUUCAGUCCUCAAAUAUAGCUGGGAAACUUAUGAGAUAGAAUCACUUGCUGUUUUUUUCUUCUUUUAUCUAAUUAAGCACUAACAGAUUUUAGUACUAUAUUGCCUUUAUGUCGCUUAUUCUCAUUGACUGAAAUUUGUCCCUCAUUCACUUUGUUUGAAAUUUAAAGUUAUUUUCUUACUGUAUUUAUCAUACCUACUGUUUUAAUAAUCUGCAUUCUUUAAAUGCAAUAAAUCCCAAGUGGAUUGCAUAUUCUUUUUAAUCAAUGACUUCAGAGUUUUUCAUUAUUCGCCAUCAUCUUAUUAAAAGUUUUGGAUGCAAACUUCUGGUCAGUUUUUUCAUUCACACCACAUACAUCAGGCACCUGUUAUGCACCAGCUAAUGGAGUAGAAAAAUGAAUAGGGUUAGAUCUCCGUUCUAAGGAGCUCACAGUUUUGGAUUUAAGUAAGAAAACAUAUUUUGACCUAGCAUUUGUGCGACAAAAAACUAGCAUAAUUUCUUCAGGCACCAUGAUUAUUGGUGCUUAUAAUGAUGAAGGUAAGGCCAAAACAUAAGAGCCUGAAGUUCCUCUUUAGUUCCUUUAGAAUGUUUGGCAUAGUUUGUGCAUUAUAUAAUUUAUUUUUAAACCCUUUAAAAACCGGUAACCUUUUUUUUUUUUUGCUUUUUAGGGCCACACAUGCGGCAUGUGGAGCUUCCCAGGCUAGGGGGUCAGAUCAAAGCUGUAGCUACCAGCCUAUGCCACAGCCACAGCAACACAGGAUCAGAGCCACGUCUGUGAACCUACAUACACCACAGCUCACAGCAACGCUGGAUCCUUAACCCACUGACCGUGGUGUAGGUCGCAGACAUGGCUUGGAACCUGUGUUGUGGCUGUGGUGUAGGCCGGCAGCUGCAGCUCCAAUUCAACCCCUAGCCUGGGAACUUCCAUAUGCCAUGGGUGCAGCCCUAAAAAAAAAAAAAAAAAAAAAAAAA
This 3019-nucleotide long non-coding RNA is filed under the name Sus scrofa (pig). Its description in RNAcentral is "lncRNA (ENSSSCG00040024341.1)". Lineage: Eukaryota; Metazoa; Chordata; Mammalia; Artiodactyla; Suidae. The record is from RNAcentral.